ACUUGAGAGGAAGCAUGUGAGAACUGAGAGAAAGGAUUAAGAGAACAUCUUUCCUGAGAGACUAUAUGAGUUAAUUGUCAAAAAGAGCCUGAAGAGACAUUUCCUGAAAGAACUGAGUUAAAGAAGAUAGUAAAGAACUAGUAGUAGAACUAGUAAAGAAGGAAGCAUUUGUCCAGGAGCAAAUGAAGAACCUGGGCAUUCUUCAACAUAGAGAUAGAUCAGCAGAAGAAGAGGAUCACUGCACAAGAAUUCUUCCGCUGAAGACUGUCUGAGAGACUGUCAAUCUAAAUAUGAGAAUACUCACCUGACAACACUAUAUGAGCAAUCCUGUUGGAAGUAUAUUUCUUUUUCUUCAAUGGCCUUUCCUUAUAAUAAUUAUGACUUCUCAACAUAA
Non-coding RNA from Phascolarctos cinereus (koala), 394 nucleotides. NCBI's taxonomy places the organism in Eukaryota, Metazoa, Chordata, Mammalia, Diprotodontia, Phascolarctidae. The record is from RefSeq and is a predicted model, not a curated record.